This 301-nucleotide ribosomal RNA is filed under the name uncultured bacterium. RNAcentral's name for it is "partial 16S ribosomal RNA". It matches the Rfam family "Bacterial small subunit ribosomal RNA", at positions 509 to 807 of the family's 1533-position model. The record is from RNAcentral.
CAGUCGCCGCGGGAAUUCGUAGGUGGCAAGCGUUGUCCGGAAUGAUUGGGCGUAAAGGGCGCGCAGGCGGCUGUGUAAGUCUGUCUAGAAAGUGCGGGGCUAAACCCCGUGAGAGGAUGGAAACUGGACAGCUGAGAGUGUCGGAGAGGAAAGCGGAAUUCCUAGUGUAGCGGUGAAACGCGUAGAUAUUAGGAGGAACACCGGUGGCGAAAGCGGCUUUCUGGACGACAACUGACGCUGAGGCGCGAAAGCCAGGGGAGCAAACGGGAUUAGAGACCCGGGUAGUCCCUGUCUCUUAUAC